Molecule: ribosomal RNA, 492 nt
Filed under: uncultured bacterium
Lineage: Bacteria
Description: partial 16S ribosomal RNA
Rfam family: Bacterial small subunit ribosomal RNA
Source: RNAcentral
AUUGAACGCUGGCGGCAGGCCUAACACAUGCAAGUCGAACGGUAACACAAUACAUGUUUCCGUUUCCCUGACGCGUGUCGGGCGCGUGUGUAUUGUCUGUCAAACUCUCCUUUUGAGGGGGAUAUCUCCUGGAAACGCUUGCUAUUACCCCAUAUCCUCCCUAGACCUGAGAGGGGGACCUUCUCGCCCCUUGCCCUCUUAUAUGCGCCGAUGUGGGAUUAGCUAGUAGGUGGGGUAAAGGCUCACCAAGGCGACGAUCCGUAGCUGGUCUGAGAGGAUGAUCAGCCACACUGGAACUGAGACACGGUCCAGACUCCUACGGGAGGCAGCAGUGGGGAAUAUUGGACAAUGGGCGCAAGCCUGAUCCAGCCAUACCGCGUGUGUGAAGAAGGCCUUCGGGUUGUAAAGUACUUUUGGUGGGGAUGAAGAGAAGAAGGUUAAUACCUCGGUGUAUUGACGGUACCCAAAGAAGAAGCACCGGCUAACUUCGUG